Molecule: long non-coding RNA, 1270 nt
Organism: Anthonomus grandis grandis
Lineage: Eukaryota; Metazoa; Arthropoda; Insecta; Coleoptera; Curculionidae
Exons: 3
Source: RefSeq, a predicted model, not a curated record
ACGGCCAAUGUUUGUAAAAAUAAAUUCAGGGCAGAAAAUCACUUUUUUUCUAUAAGAAAGUCGCCAUGUAUUUGUUCUUUUCUUGUAUUUUAUUCUUUUUCAUUAAAAUUCCCUAAAAUGCGAACAUUUUCCUUAUUUGGCAACACCGAUUGCAGAAAUUUCUAAAAAACACACAAUCUCUUAAAAUCAUUUAUCAAAGGCUACACAAAAUUUGAUAAGUUUCAAUUUAUUUGUUUAAGUCUCUUCCUGGCACUUGAGAGUAUCUAAAAAUCUAUUCCAGGCAUUUGAGGCACUUCGACUGCCUCUAAGAAAUUUUUAAGUAUUCUUAGGUCUCUUCCUGGCACUUGAGAGUAUCUGAAAUUCUAUUUCAGGCAUUUGAGGCACUUUGGCUGCCUGUAAGAGACUUCUAAGUCUUCAUAAGUCUCUUCCUGGCCCUUGAGAGUAUCUGUGAGUCUAUUCCCGGCAUUUGAGGCAGUUCGACUGCCUCUAAGAAAUUUUUAAGUCUCCUUAGGUCUCUUCCUGGCACUUGAGAGUAUCUGAAAUUCUAUUCCAGGCAUUUGAGGCACUUUGGCUGCCUUUAAGAGACUUCUAAGUCUUUAUAAGUCUCUUCCUGGCCCUUGAGAGUAUCUGUGAGUCUAUUCCAGGCAUUUGAGGCACUUCGACUGCCUCUAAGACAUUUUUAAGUCUUCUUAGGUCUCUUCCUGGCACUUGAGAGUAUCUGAAAUUCUAUUCCAGGCAUUUGGAGGCACUUUGGCUGUCUGUAAGAGACUUCUAAGUCUUUAUAAGUCUCUUCCUGGCCCUUGAGAGUAUCUGUGAGUCUAUUCCAGGCAUUUGAGGCACUUCAACUGCCUCUAAGAAAUUUUUAAGUCUUCUUAGGUCUCUUCCUGGCACUUGAGAGUAUCUGAAAUUCUAUUCCAGGCAUUUGAGGCACUUUGGCUGCCUGUAAGAGGCUUUUAAGUCUUCAUAAGUCUCUUCCUGGCCCUUGAGAGUAUCUGUGAGUCUAUUCCAGGCAUUUGAGGCACUUCGAGUGCCUCUAAGAAAUUUUUAAGUCUUCUUAGGUCUCUUCCUAGCACUUGAGAGUAUCUGAAAUUCUAUUCCAGGCAUUUGAGGCACUUUGGCUGCCUGUAAGAGACUUCUAAGUCUUCAAAAGUCUCUUCCUGGCCCUUGAGAGUAACUGUGAGUCUAUUCCAGACAUUUGAGGCACUUCGACUGCCUCUAAGAAAUUUUGAAGUCUUCUUAGGUCUCUUCCUGGCACUUGAGAGUAUCUGAA